GGAUGUGAGGGCAGUCUGGCUGCAACAUCUGUCACCCCACAGACGACCAGCCUGAUUGAGGUGACCUGGCUGACUGGUGGGUAUCUUCUUCCUCCUCAUUGCUCCAUGUGCAUCCCUACCAAAGGUGCACACUGGUUGAAGAGGGUGAUCUUCCCCAUGGAGAUGGUGCUGUUCAUCAGUCAAGGGUAUACAGUAGCCCUACCUCCUGCUAGAACCACUCUCCAAACAAGCUCAAGAUUUAUGGCUAUUUUUGCUGUAACUGCAGUUUAUCUAAUUUUGCAGUGACCUGCCAGAGAUCUAAAGAAAAUACUUUCUG
This 316-nucleotide small nuclear RNA is filed under the name Ficedula albicollis (Collared flycatcher). RNAcentral's name for it is "7SK RNA". It matches the Rfam family "7SK RNA". From Rfam's summary of the family: 7SK was discovered as an abundant small nuclear RNA in the mid-70s but a possible function has only recently been suggested. Two independent studies have found that 7SK RNA binds the CDK9/cyclin T complex (known as elongation factor P-TEFb). The record is from Rfam by way of RNAcentral. Lineage: Eukaryota; Metazoa; Chordata; Aves; Passeriformes; Muscicapidae.